Long non-coding RNA from Daphnia magna, 1239 nucleotides. RefSeq lists it as uncharacterized. NCBI's taxonomy places the organism in Eukaryota, Metazoa, Arthropoda, Branchiopoda, Diplostraca, Daphniidae. The record is from RefSeq and is a predicted model, not a curated record. The transcript is spliced from 2 exons.
GUGUGAAACCACACUCACUUGUUGAUCCAUGAAAACCAAUAGCUGUGUUCCUUCUUCCAAGAUUAGCAUUAACACACUAUUCUUACAUUCACGAAUAGACUUGAAUCACUUAGAUGAGUCCAUUCCAGAUAUUAUUUCAGGGUAGACAAUAAUUGAACUUUUACCCAAUGUCGAACUUGAGAUUACCUGGAAACAUGUCUGGAAAACAUCCAAGUAACAGGAUAGUGUUGCCAAAACCUGUUAAAUUAGAUGAAAAGAAAUAAAAAAGAUGCAGCAAAGCACUUAAGCAGAACCUUGGUUUCAAAUAAAAAAUAACAUACAGUUGCAACAUUUCCAGGUUCUAGUUUAGAAAUUUUGAUUUUUGCUUGGUGGUCUUUGGAUUACAUGACACGUCUCUCCUUUUAUUGUGUGUAGAAAAAUAAAAAUAAUAAAUUAGCAAGAGUUUGUCAGAACGACGACAGAAAUCGUUUAGAUCAUGCAAAGAAGACAACGACCCAAAUUCUAUAAGUCUUUUAGUUACCACGUGGCGAAUAUAGCCAUAUAGGAUAUAGCCAAAUAAUUCCUUCUUUUCGUAUGUUAGUUUGUGAAAUAAUAUAACAUAGGUGCUUUGCCACAGUGAGUUAUAGACUCUAGAACUGCAAUCCAAGUUUACAAAAUGAUUAUGGAUUAUUGACUACAGGAAUAAAGCUUUUUAGUCUCGAUUUGGCGAUAGAUUAGCCGGAUGAGCUAUGUCUUAAAACCUUUUGUCGCGUCCUAGGCUCUUCGUGAGUGGUCGACUUGCUUUUUUAGCUGUAAGUCCUAUUUCUAUUGGUAGUUUUGGUCACAUGUCGAACCUGCAGGCCUACUAUUGGCUCUUCUACAGCAAAUACAGUUUACUGGUACCUUAAGCUACACAAGAAUAAAAAAAUAAUGUAGAAUUCCGUAUUUAUCGUAAAGAGCAAGUCUUAACACUAAGCCAACAGUUGUGCAAAAACCAGAUCACAAAAAAUGAAAUGAUACGAUGUAAACUUCCAACAAACCGUUGCGACUUUGUUUGUAUUCAUGGGACUUGGGUAAAGGGAAUUCAGCUCACUGUCAAAUGCCACGUAGGAUGCGUGUAUGUUUUGAAUAUUGGGGAAAUAGGGAAAAACAAACAAGACCAUGAUGUAAACAGCAAGUAGUUGGAACUGUACUGAGAAAAAAGAGAAAAGAAUCUGAAAGGCGGAAAAGAAGAAAUUAAAGACUGAAAAAAAAAAAAAA